Molecule: ribosomal RNA, 497 nt
Filed under: uncultured bacterium
Lineage: Bacteria
Description: partial 16S ribosomal RNA
Rfam family: Bacterial small subunit ribosomal RNA
Source: RNAcentral
GAUGAACGCUGGCGGCGUGCCUAAUACAUGCAAGUCGAGCGAACAGACGAGGAGCCUGCUCCUCUGACGUUAGCGGCGGACGGGUGAGUAACACGUGGAUAACCUACCUAUAAGACUGGGAUAACUUCGGGAAACCGGAGCUAAUACCGGAUAAUAUAUUGAACCGCAUGGUUCAAUAGUGAAAGACGGUUUUGCUGUCACUUAUAGAUGGAUCCGCGCCGCAUUAGCUAGUUGGUAAGGUAACGGCUUACCAAGGCAACGAUGCGUAGCCGACCUGAGAGGGUGAUCGGCCACACUGGAACUGAGACACGGUCCAGACUCCUACGGGAGGCAGCAGUAGGGAAUCUUCCGCAAUGGGCGAAAGCCUGACGGAGCAACGCCGCGUGAGUGAUGAAGGUCUUCGGAUCGUAAAACUCUGUUAUUAGGGAAGAACAAAUGUGUAAGUAACUAUGCACGUCUUGGCGGUACCUAAUCAGAAAGCCACGGCUAACUACGUG